UGUUGCGCGCUCUCUCGUGUUGCGUAUCUCUCAUGGACCGCAUGAUAGAAGAAGUGGCUUCUCUUUUAUGGAUUGCUGUUAGGAGAUGAAGGUUGACUUUGUUUUGGAAAUGAUGUCAGUGCUUUUCAGAGCAUGACAUGGCCCAAUGAAUGUCUUUGCUUUAAGUUUCUUGUUCUAUGGAACUAAUGCAUCUGCCAACAAACAUCCUGAUAUGCGACAGGAAACACAAUUGCGAACCUUAGAGCUUUUGAGUGGCAUUUAAUUAUUAUACUUUCCUGAUGGAACAAUGCAGCUGCACGGUGGUUUCAUUUCUUAUUCCUUCUUGUUGAACUGGUGGCUGUCACGGGAACACUGCUUGGCACCUAUCCUCAUAGAAAGCACAAGUCACUUUGGUUGCAAGAAAGCAUAAGAAUGUGAUCCAACUCAAGCCACAUUGAUAAAGAGGCAUUGUACCUGAAGAAAAAUCCUUUGAAAGCAGACUUCUUAUUGCAAAAACUGCUUGUGCUUGGCUUACAGAGUCUUGUUUACAUUUGAACUAAUUAUACUUGACUCGUUGUGUUUUGUUUAAAAUGAUAUUAGAAUAUCAAGAGAAGUUGUCUUGAAUUAAGAUGUGCCUUUCUUCCUGUGUUCAGAGUUGUUUUGUAACUAAUGUAUAAAAGGUGAUUGUUUUUA
Sphaerodactylus townsendi is the source of this 672-nucleotide long non-coding RNA. RefSeq lists it as uncharacterized. Lineage: Eukaryota; Metazoa; Chordata; Lepidosauria; Squamata; Sphaerodactylidae. The record is from RefSeq and is a predicted model, not a curated record. The transcript is spliced from 2 exons.